Brassica oleracea var. oleracea is the source of this 492-nucleotide long non-coding RNA. RefSeq lists it as uncharacterized. The record is from RefSeq and is a predicted model, not a curated record. The transcript has 3 exons. NCBI's taxonomy places the organism in Eukaryota, Viridiplantae, Streptophyta, Magnoliopsida, Brassicales, Brassicaceae.
UUACGUGGCAUGAAGAUAAUUGCGACAAUCCUGAGAGCAAGUUCCUAGCUUUCACGCUCCAUGAUGGUAUAAGCGGCCAAGACGUCUAUGCGGCUUUCAACGCCCAUGACUACUUUGUCAAGGCUCUUAUUCCACUGCCACCGUGGGGAAAGCAAAGCAAUGGUUCCGUGUGGCUGACACAAACCUCGAUCGAGUCACCGGAUGAUUUUGUAAAGGAAGGUGUGGCUGAGACAUACAAUGUGGCUCCAUUCUCUUCGAUCCUUCUCAAGUUCAUGUAAAGCAAAGCAUGCACAUCCUUCGUGAAAGAUCCAUAAGUGUUUAUUUGAUUAAUGUAUAUGUAAAAUUCUAAAAUAGACGACAUUUCCAUUCAAAAGAUACAAUAUAUACAAAUAUAUAUAUCGAGCAAUAUGGUAAGUGUAUGUUUGUUUAAGGUUUUUAUUUCACCUUAAACUCUUAUGUUUCCCUUUCUUUAAUUCAUCUCUAUUAAAUGCU